Long non-coding RNA from Thalassophryne amazonica, 177 nucleotides. RefSeq lists it as uncharacterized. NCBI's taxonomy places the organism in Eukaryota, Metazoa, Chordata, Actinopteri, Batrachoidiformes, Batrachoididae. The transcript has 3 exons. The record is from RefSeq and is a predicted model, not a curated record.
UCAUUCAUCUAGGCUUCUAGGUUGUUCAGAUGUACAACAAAAGGUGUUUUCAGACCGUAUUUUCCUUGACCUUUCACCAAAUGACUCCAAAAUCCAAUGAUCCAUUGAGGCUCCUUGGCGGUUGAGCUGUACAAAAAGGUGUUUUUUUUUAAACAUUAUGAGUUAACAGGUUUUCCC